RNAcentral lists this ribosomal RNA (243 nucleotides) under Nitrosospira sp. RNAcentral describes it as "partial 16S ribosomal RNA". It matches the Rfam family "Bacterial small subunit ribosomal RNA", at positions 255 to 490 of the family's 1533-position model. Lineage: Bacteria; Pseudomonadati; Pseudomonadota; Betaproteobacteria; Nitrosomonadales; Nitrosomonadaceae. The record is from RNAcentral.
AGGUAAAGGCUUACCAAGGCGACGAUCAGUAGCUGGUCUGAGAGGACGACCAGCCACACUGGGACUGAGACACGGCCCAGACUCCUACGGGAGGCAGCAGUGGGGAAUUUUGGACAAUGGGGGAAACCCUGAUCCAGCCAUGCCGCGUGAGUGAAGAAGGCCUUCGGGUUGUAAAGCUCUUUCAGCCGGAACGAAACGGUCACGGCUAAUACCUGUGACUACUGACGGUACCGGAAGAAGAAG